UAGUGGCGAACGGGUGAGUAACACGUAGAUAACCCUGCCCCUUACUUCGAGGAUAACACCUGGAAACGGGAGCUAAUACUGGAUAGGAUAAUUUAAGGCAUCUUUAGAUUAUUUAAAGAUUAAUCGAGUAAGGAGGGGUCUGCGGCGCAUUAGUUAGAUGGCGGAGUAAUAGCCCACCAUGACGAUGAUGCGUAGCCGGACUGAGAGGUCUAACGGCCACAUUGGGACUGAGAACGGCCCAAACUCCUACGGGAGGCAGCAGUAGGGAAUUUUCGGCAAUGGGGGGAACCCUGACCGAGCAACGCCGCGUGAAUGACGAAGUUCUUCGGAAUGUAAAGUUCUUUUUUACGGGAAGAAAAAUAACCAAAUUGACGGUACCGUAAGAAUAAGCCCCGGCUAACUAUGUGCCAGCAGCCGCGGUAAUACAUAGGGGGCGAGCGUUAUCCGGAUUUACUGGGCGUAAAGGGUGCGUAGGUUGUUAUUUAAGUUUCUGGUGUAAGUGCAGUGCUCAACGCUGUGAUGCUAGGAAAACUGGAUAGCUAGAGUAAGACAGAGGCAAGUGGAAUUCCAUGUGUAGCGGUAAAAUGCGUAAAUAUAUGGAGGAACACCAGUGGCGAAGGCGGCUUGCUGGGUCUUUACUGACGCUGAUGCACGAAAGCGUGGGGAGCAAACAGGAUUAGAU
RNAcentral lists this ribosomal RNA (682 nucleotides) under uncultured bacterium. Its description in RNAcentral is "bacterial SSU rRNA". It matches the Rfam family "Bacterial small subunit ribosomal RNA", at positions 93 to 783 of the family's 1533-position model. The record is from RNAcentral.